AGACUUACCUGACGGGGGGUUACCACAACAACGAAGGUGGUCUUCUCAUCUUCUGUUGUACUCUGAAUGUGCAGACCCCUGAUAUUUCCCCAAAUUUGGGAAACUUGACUGCUUUAUUUCUGGUAGUGGGGUACUACAUUCAUGAGUUGUUUUA
This 154-nucleotide small nuclear RNA is filed under the name Peromyscus maniculatus bairdii (prairie deer mouse). RNAcentral describes it as "U1 spliceosomal RNA (ENSPEMG00000002870.2)". It matches the Rfam family "U1 spliceosomal RNA". Rfam says of the family: U1 is a small nuclear RNA (snRNA) component of the spliceosome (involved in pre-mRNA splicing). Its 5' end forms complementary base pairs with the 5' splice junction, thus defining the 5' donor site of an intron. Lineage: Eukaryota; Metazoa; Chordata; Mammalia; Rodentia; Cricetidae. The record is from RNAcentral.